RNAcentral lists this ribosomal RNA (265 nucleotides) under Listeria monocytogenes. RNAcentral's name for it is "partial 23S ribosomal RNA". It matches the Rfam family "Bacterial large subunit ribosomal RNA", at positions 2664 to 2925 of the family's 2925-position model. The record is from RNAcentral. Lineage: Bacteria; Bacillati; Bacillota; Bacilli; Caryophanales; Listeriaceae.
GAGAGGAGCUGUCCUUAGUACGAGAGGACCGGGAUGGACACACCGCUGGUGUACCAGUUGUUCCGCCAGGAGCAUCGCUGGGUAGCUAUGUGUGGCAGGGAUAAACGCUGAAAGCAUCUAAGCGUGAAGCCCCCCUCAAGAUGAGAUUUCCCAUUUCUUCGGAAAGUAAGAUCCCUGAAAGAUGAUCAGGUAGAUAGGUUUGGAGUGGAAGUGUAGCGAUACAUGGAGCGGACAAAUACUAAUCGAUCGAGGACUUAACCAAAAA